Molecule: transfer RNA, 74 nt
Filed under: Challia fletcheri
Lineage: Eukaryota; Metazoa; Arthropoda; Insecta; Dermaptera; Pygidicranidae
Description: tRNA-Trp
Source: RNAcentral
AGGGUUUCUAAGUUAAGUUUAAACUUUAGGUCUUCAAAGCUUGGAAUAAGUAUUAUUAAGUUGCUUGAACCUUA